GGAAAAGAAACCAACAGGGAUUGCCUCAGUAACGGCGAGUGAAGCGGCAUAAGCUCAAAUUUGAAAUCUGGCUCUUUCAGGGUCCGAGUUGUAAUUUGUAGAAGAUGCUUCGAGUGUGGUUCCGGUCUAAGUUCCUUGGAACAGGACGUCAUAGAGGGUGAGAAUCCCGUAUGUGACUGGGUACCUUCGCUCAUGUGAAGCUCUUUCGACGAGUCGAGUUGUUUGGGAAUGCAGCUCAAAAUGGGUGGUAUAUUUCAUCUAAAGCUAAAUAUUGGCCAGAGACCGAUAGCGCACAAGUAGAGUGAUCGAAAGAUGAAAAGCACUUUGGAAAGAGAGUUAAACAGUACGUGAAAUUGUUGAAAGGGAAGCGCUUGCAAUCAGACUUGCGCCUAGUUGAUCAUCCAGGCUUCUGCCUGGUGCACUCGAUUAGGCUCAGGCCAGCAUCGGUUUGGGUGGUUGGAUAAAGGCCUUGGGAAUGUAGCCUCCUUCGGGUGGUGUUAUAGCCCUCGGUGCAAUGCAGCCUACCUGGACCGAGGACCGCGCUUCGGC
This 549-nucleotide ribosomal RNA is filed under the name Moellerodiscus iodotingens subsp. canariensis. Its description in RNAcentral is "eukaryotic LSU rRNA". It matches the Rfam family "Eukaryotic large subunit ribosomal RNA", at positions 55 to 606 of the family's 3401-position model. The record is from RNAcentral. Lineage: Eukaryota; Fungi; Ascomycota; Leotiomycetes; Helotiales; Sclerotiniaceae.